GACGAACGCUGGCGGCGUGCUUAACACAUGCAAGUCGAACGGAAAGGCUCCAGCUUGCUGGAGUACUCGAGUGGCGAACGGGUGAGUAACACGUGGGUAAUCUGCCCUGCACUCUGGGAUAAGCCUGGGAAACUGGGUCUAAUACUGGAUAUGACCUUUCUCCUUAUGGGGUUUGGUGGAAAGUUUUUCGGUGUAGGAUGAGCCCGCGGCCUAUCAGCUUGUUGGUGGGGUGAUGGCCUACCAAGGCGACGACGGGUAGCCGGCCUGAGAGGGUGAUCGGCCACAUUGGGACUGAGAUACGGCCCAGACUCCUACGGGAGGCAGCAGUGAGGAAUAGUGCACAAUGGGCGGAAGCCUGAUGCAGCGACGCCGCGUGAGGGAUGACGGCCUUCGGGUUGUAAACCUCUUUCAGCAGGGACGAAGCGUAAGUGACGGUACCUGCAGAAGAAGCACCGGCUAACUAUGUG
RNAcentral lists this ribosomal RNA (467 nucleotides) under uncultured bacterium. Its description in RNAcentral is "partial 16S ribosomal RNA". It matches the Rfam family "Bacterial small subunit ribosomal RNA", at positions 28 to 507 of the family's 1533-position model. The record is from RNAcentral.